RNAcentral lists this ribosomal RNA (522 nucleotides) under uncultured Glomus. RNAcentral describes it as "SSU rRNA". It matches the Rfam family "Eukaryotic small subunit ribosomal RNA", at positions 569 to 1092 of the family's 1831-position model. The record is from RNAcentral. Lineage: Eukaryota; Fungi; Glomeromycota; Glomeromycetes; Glomerales; Glomeraceae.
AGCAGCCGCGGUAAUUCCAGCUCCAAUAGCGUAUAUUAAAGUUGUUGCAGUUAAAAAGCUCGUAGUUGAAUUUCGGGGUUAGUAGGCUGGUCGUGCCACAGGUAUGCACUGGUCUUACUGAUUCCUCCUUCCUGAUGAACCGUAAUGCCAUUAAUUUGGUGUUGCGGGGAGUCUGGACUGUUACUUUGAAAAAAUUAGAGUGUUUAAAGCAGGCUAACGCUUGAAUACAUUAGCAUGGAAUAACGAAAUAGGACGUUCGAUCCUAUUUUGUUGGUUUCUAGGAUUGACGUAAUGAUUAAUAGGGAUAGUUGGGGGCAUUAGUAUUCAAUUGUCAGAGGUGAAAUUCUUGGAUUUAUUGAAGACUAACUACUGCGAAGGCAUUUGCCAAGGAUGUUUUCAUUAAUCAAGAACGAAAGUUAGGGGAUCGAAGACGAUCAGAUACCGUCGUAGUCUUAACCAUAAACUAUGCCGACUAGGGAUCGGAUGAUGUUAAUUUUUUAAUGACUCAUUCGGCGCCUUACG